This 406-nucleotide ribosomal RNA is filed under the name uncultured bacterium. Its description in RNAcentral is "partial 16S ribosomal RNA". It matches the Rfam family "Bacterial small subunit ribosomal RNA", at positions 29 to 526 of the family's 1533-position model. The record is from RNAcentral.
ACGAACGCUGGCGGCUGCUUAACACAUGCAAGUCGAACGGAGUGGCGAACGGGUGAGUAACGCGUGAGAAACCUGCCUAUGACAGUGGGAUAGCCUCGGGAAACCGGGAUUAAUACCGCAUAGUCAUAGAUGGGCGCGCGUCUGAUUAGCGAGUUGGUGAGAAAACAGCCCACCAAGGCGACGAGCAGUAGCCGGUCUGAGAGAAUGAACGGCCACAUUGGAACUGAGACACGAUCCAAACUCCUACGGGAGGAAGCAGUGGGGAAUAUUGCACAAUGGGGGAAACCCUGAUGCAGCGACGCCGCGAGAACGAAGAAGGUAUUCGUAUAGUAAAGUUCUGUCCUAUGGGAAGCAGUACCAUAGAAGAAAGCUCCGGCUAAAUACGUGCCAGCAGCCGCGGUAAUUC